UGUCCCUAUAUCCCAUAUAGGGCCGCCAUUUUCCUCGCUCCCCCCUGUCAAUCACGACCUUCGCCCUUCUGAUUGGCUCUCCGCCACGCCGCUCUUCCCCAUCACCAUUCCCAUUGGUUGCGCGGGUAGGCGGGACCACCGUAUUGAGGCUCCCCCAUUGGACGCAGCCUUUCCCGCUCGCGGGGCUGUGGGCGGGAUUAUCGGGCCGCUCCGCGCGCUGAUUGGUUGAGGGGCUGAGAGCGGGAAGACGGGGAGAAAAUGGCGGCCCUAAGAGGAGGGGGGGACAAAAUGGCGGCCGCUGAGGGGAGGGGGCGGAAGCUGUUGUCGCCUUCCCCACAAGUUCUAUGGGGUCUCGUCCCCCCAUCGCACUUCAUGGCCCCCAAAGCCAGGUAAGGGUCCCACAAUGAGCCCUAUUGGCCCCCCAUUAAGGCCAUUAAAACCAUUAAAGCCAUUAAGGCCAUUAAGGCCGGUAUCUGUGACCCCCCCCCCCCAAUUAAAACAGGUUGAUUGACGUGGAGAAGGGGCGGAGCCAAGAGAUGGGGGCGGAGCUUGGUAUGCAAAUGAGGCGGAACGAAGACAUGGGGGCGGAGCUUGGUAUGCAAAUGAGGCGGGACGAAGACAUGGGGGCGGAGCUUGGCAUGCAAAUGAGGCGGAACGAAGACACGGGGGCGGAGCCUGAUAUGCAAAUGAGACCGAGCCACAGCCUUGGGGCGGAGCUUGGUAUGCAAAUGAGGCGGAGCCAAGCAUUGGGGGAGGAGCCUGAUAUGCAAAUGAGGCAGAGACACAGCAUUGGGGCAGAGCCUGAUAUGCAAAUGAUGCGGAGACACAGACUGGACGAGGGGCUUGGUAUGCAAAUGAGGCGGAGACACAGCGUGGGGGCGGAGCUUGGUAUGCAAAUGAGGCCGAGCCAAGUGAUGGAGGCUGAGCUUGAAGCUGAUAGGGGGCGGAGCUUAAGGCUGGAGGCGGAGCUUGAUAUGCAAAUGAGGCGAAACAAAGACAUGGAGGCGGAGCUUGAUAUGCAAAUGAGGCGGGUCAAAGAGCUGGAGGUGGAGCUUGGUAUGCAAAUGAGACGGAACAAAGACAUGAAGGCGGAGCUUGAUAUGCAAAUGAAGCAGAACAAAGAGCUGGGGGCGGAGCUUCAAGCUGAAAAGAGGCGGAGCUUAAGGCUGGAGGCGGAGCUCGGUAUGCAAAUGAGGCGGAACAAAGAGCUGGAGGCGGAGCUUAAGGCUGAAAAGGGGCGGAGCCAAGAGAAGGGGGCGGAGCCUGAUGGAGAGACCCCAUUGCUCCGUGCUCAGCUCAGCGCCCUCAGCCACAUCCUGACCCUACAAGAGAAGGAGCUGAACAGGGAGGUGAGAAAUAGGGGACCCCAUAGGGGGGCUAUGGGGGGUAAUGGGGGCCUAUGGGGUGUAAUGGGGGUCCUGUGGGGUCCUAUGGGGUUCUAUGGGGUCCUAUGGGGUGUAAUGGGGUCCUAUGGGGUUCUAUGGGGUGUAAUGGGGGUCCUAUGGGGUCCUAUGGGGUUCUAUGGGGUCCUAUGAGGUGUAAUAGGGGUCCUAUGGGUUCCUAUGGGGUGUAAUGGGGUCCUAUGGGAUGUAAUGGUGGUCCUAUGGGGUCCUAUGGGGGGUAAUGGGGGUCCUAUGGGCUGUAAUGGGGGGCUAGGGGGUGUAAUGGGGGUCCUGUGGGGUCCUAUGGGGUUCUAUGGGGUCCUAUGGGGUGUAAUGGGGGUCCUAUGGGGUGUGAUGGUGUGUAAUGGGGUCCUAUGGGGUGUAAUGGGGGUCCUAUGGGGUGUAAUGGGGAUCCUAUGGGGUGUAAUGGGGUGUAAUAGGGUCCUAUGGGGUGUAAUGGGGGUCCUAUGGGGUGUAAUGGGGGUCCUAUGAAGUGUAAUAGGGGUCCUAUGGGUUCCUAUGGGGUGUAAUGGGGUGUAAUGGGGUCCUAUGGGGUGUAAUGGGGGUCCUAUGGGGUGUAAUGGGGUGUAAUGGGGUCCUAUGGGGUGUAAUGGGGAUCCUAUGGGGUACAAUGGGGUCCUAUGGGGUGUAAUGGGGUCCUAUGGGGUAUAAUGGGGUCCUAUGGGGUGUAAUGGGGUCCUAUGGGGUAUAAUGGGGUCCUAUGGGGUGUAAUGGGGGUCCUAUGGGUUAUAAUGGGGGUCCUAUGGGGUGUGAUGGGGGUCCUAUGGGGUAUAAUGGGGUUCUAUGGGGUGUAAUGGGGUCCUAUGGGUUACAAUGGGGUCCUAUGGGGUGUGAUGGGGGUCCUAUGGGGUGUAAUGGGGGUCCUAUGGGGUAUAAUGGGGUCCUAUGGGGUGUAAUGGGGUCCUAUGGGGUAUAAUGGGGGUCCUAUGGGGCGUGAUGGGGGUCCUAUGGGGUGUAAUGGGGUCCUAUGGGGUAUAAUGGGGUCCUAUAGGGUUUAAUAGGGGUCCUAUGGGUUAUAAUGGGGGUCCUAUGGGGUUCUAUGGGGUGUAAUGGGGUCCUAUGGGGUGUAAUGGGGGUCCUAUGGGUUAUAAUGGGGGUCCUAUGGGGUGUAAUGGGGUCCUAUGGGGUGCAA
This is a long non-coding RNA of Coturnix japonica (Japanese quail), 2535 nucleotides long. Ensembl annotates it as myosin-9-like. The record is from Ensembl. Lineage: Eukaryota; Metazoa; Chordata; Aves; Galliformes; Phasianidae.